Molecule: long non-coding RNA, 1463 nt
Organism: Leptinotarsa decemlineata (Colorado potato beetle)
Lineage: Eukaryota; Metazoa; Arthropoda; Insecta; Coleoptera; Chrysomelidae
Source: RefSeq, a predicted model, not a curated record
GAAGAUUUCUGAAUGUCGAGAGGGGGUAUUAUAAAGACGGAAUAAUUUAUAUAUGUAAAAAAAAAAUAUCUCCAAACCUGAAAGAAUUGAAGAUGACAUUCUGCUAUGUGAAAAUAUGUGCGUGUAUUUGUUACCAUACUCAUUGGUAAUUUGUUGAAUGUUCAAAACGAACAUUGUUCCCAAACACCGGAACUGCAACACUUGACGUUUUCAGGAGAUGAGACACACAUCAAUGAUUUCUGGUAGAAAACUGAAGCAAGAUUAUCAAUCAAUUGGAAGAGAAAGAUAUUUUAUAUCGGAAAGCAGAUAAAGGCAAUAAGGAAACUAAAGUUCGUUUUGCGAGGUUUUGUUUGUUCCCAUAUAGAAGGCAUAGAACAUAAAUACCAUGCCAUUACCACUUGCCAGAUAUAGAUAUACACAGAACGGAGUGCCCGAGAGGGGAGCAACUUCGAGAUAGGACAGAGAUAAAUAAUAAGACAACCCAUAAGAAAAGCUGGUGCCCGCACUUACAAAACUGAUAGACAUCAAAGAACCAAGUAGUGGGAAGGUGUGAUUAAAAACAUACUGCUCUACGGAGCACUUAUAUAGUAUAUGGAAUGGGGUUAUGAAAAUCCAGAGAUACAAAAACCAUGAUUACCAGUUUGCAAAGGCGAUUUUUUCUCAGAUUUCUCCUCUGCAAGUCGAAUUGAAGAAAAUAUCGAUUAUUGCCAUAAGAACCAGUUGUAAAUUACAUUCAAAUAUUUGUUGUGACAUCUAGCACUUCCUAAGGUGAUUCCCGUUUUUGACGCGCAGACAAGUUGGCGAUGUGCUCCCACCCUUCCUUCGUCAAAACAAGUUCUCCACACCAGAGCUUACUCGAUUCCAAGCUCGCGUUCAGUCAAAGACGCAAUUUAGAGGGUGCUGGAUGACGCUGUGGCAUUCGGUUUCAUCAGAGUUCGCGCGAAAAUUUUGAGCAUCGGACGUUUGGCGGAGUUUUGUGAGUUGUGGAGGAUGUUUUAUGAAGUUUAGUGAGGCUCGUUGACAAUACAAUCAGUGAAAAAAGAAAUUUUGGUUUUAAUGCUUCUAGUGACUUUCCUCGUGUGAAAUGUUUCAUUUGACGAUUGAAAGUAACGAUGGGGUUCAAUAAUACCUAAGAUUUCCACCGGAUUUGGCGAGCCUUUCAAUCCCCGUAGAAUAAAACCUCGUGAAAGUUUCAAUUAAGACGAAGUGCCGGAACUGAACCUUUAAAAAAAUAAACACACGGCACAGCACUUUGACACCAUGCGGGCGACUUCAUUGCCGUUCGUGAUGGGGUUCAGUUGGGUGUUGUUGGCGGCGGUCGUUCUGGCGGCGGCCGGAGAUGUGGCGCAUCUCUCCUUCUCCGGAUCGAGAUGUCCCAGGGCGUGUUCUUGUGUGGGGACGACGGUAGAUUGCUCCAGGAGGGGUCUGACUGCGGUGCCGAGGAACAUUCCUUUGGAUACUGA